UCCGCUGCGCAGGCAGCAGCGCCCGCCCCGGUCCGCCCCGCCCAGCCUUCCUCCUGGGCAACCGAGAGGAUGGUGUGAGGACUGCAGGAAGCCCCGAGAACUGGACCAAUGUGGCGUGGUUCUGUUUGGGGCAAGCAUGGCUGGAAGCUGGAGGAAUUCAUGGAAAGAAGGUUCUAUCAGGGACUGAGGCUUGGUAGGGUCCACUUUUCUAGGAGAAGGUUUCACUGGAGCGUGGACUAGGCCUGUUGAGAGGCUGGUGGCAUAAACAGGGUGCGAGAGGCCAGGGGGGCUUCAGCACCGUCCCCCACCCAGGAUAUCGUGAGCAGCUGCAGCAGCACAGACUCUGAUCUCACCAGGCCAACACCACCCCUGGGGCCCAGCAGUCAAGAGGUUCAGAGAGUCUUCAACUCAGCCAGCCCAGGAGCUGCCCAGCCCCCAGGAAAGAAAACCACUGAUGUCCCACCGGGCAGCAGCACUGAGAGAGGGGAAGCCCCAGCACACAUCACUCCGCAUGCUGCAAAAUAAGAACUCAGUCUGGAUCCUCGGUCGCUGAUCUGUGGACGCAUAAAUGGGACACACAUACAUGCAUGUGCACAUGCAACUUAAGUUAAGGGUAAUAAAUUCUGGUCACAUGAUUUUAAAAUUGAGAGCAGUGACAUAACAGCUGUUCAGUAAAUGUUUGUCAGUUGCUUGAUACAAAUGUUAGCAGAAUUUAGGCAGUGGGCCUUUCCCAUCCAGUUAAAGGAAAGGGAGGGGAGAAUCCAAGAGGGGAGAAGGGAAAGAGGAGGGGAAAGAGGCCAGACAGAGGGAGAUGGGGUGGCAGUGACAUGAGAUGAGUUGAAGGGGGGAAGCCCCUCAGUGUUGCUUGAGCCUCAGUCACCACGGGCACUGACCACCACAAGCACUGUCCCUUCCUAUGAUAACUGAGCACCUACUAUGUGCAGGCUCUUUACUUCCAUCAUUUAUUUUGACUUUCACAACAAACUUGGAAGAGGAGUACAAUUAGCCCCACUUUGCAGAGGAUAUACCUGAGGCUGAGAGUCUAAAUCCCACGGUUGAGCCCCACCCUCCCCCAGCCUCCACUCGUGUCCCUUGCUGGUGUGCCCGUGAGUGCCUGAACGGAGGGGAUCCUGGUGUCUUAUCUGCGUCCCAAAUUCCUAAUGCCUACCGUGAUGCCUGGCACACAGUAGGCCCUUCCUCAAUAAAUGUGCAACGAAUGAGAGAGAAGAUUUGGGACGGGCGCUGGGGAGAGCUACUGCACUGCUAGUGAGACAGAAGGAAAGGAAAGAAAAGCUGAGGAUGCCAAGCCAGGCACCUGGUCCUGAGGGAGCUGUGCUUCUGCAGCACCCACUGGGCAGGCAAAGCUGGGCUCGUGCCAUCCGAUGUGGGUCUGCGCUUGCACUGCCGGCUCUCCUGCAGGCUGCCUUACAGUGAAGCCCGGUGAGGAAAGCGGGAGUGGAAGAGGCACAGUCAAGGUAGGGGCCAGCCAGGCCGUGCCAGACCCGCCGUGGCUGUGGCAGCUGGUGCAUUCUAUGCUCCAGCCACUGUUCUCCCGCUGGCUGCUCUCAGGGAUCACCCAGGGAGCUUUGAAAACAACUGCAGCUCCAGCUCCACCCUCAGAACUUCUGCAUUAAUUGGUCUGGGAAGGGGCCGAGGCAGCAGAAUUUAUUAAGUCCCCCAGGAAACUCUAAUGUGCUGCUCGAGUUGAAGACCACUGCAGGCCCAACCUCCCACUUAAGGGGGAAAGAGGAGAAAACAUUCAUCAGGCCCUUACUGUGUGCUGCCCACUGCCCCACAAGGUAGAUAUCCUCAUGCCCUGCAGUCCCCCAGGCCACAGACUGGUACCACUCCAUGGCCUGUUAGGAAUCAGGCCACACAGCCAGAGAUGAGUGGCAAGGGAGGCAGUGAAGCUUCACCGGUAUUUAUAGCCACUCCCCAUCGCUCGCAUCACCACCUGAGUUCCACCUCCUGUCAGAUUAGCAGUAACGUUAGGUUCUCAUAGCACAAACCCCACUGUAAACUGCGCAUGCGAGGGGUCUAGGUUGCACGUUCCUUAUGAGAAUCUAAUGCCUGAUGCUCUGA
This is a long non-coding RNA of Lemur catta (Ring-tailed lemur), 2082 nucleotides long. RefSeq lists it as uncharacterized. NCBI's taxonomy places the organism in Eukaryota, Metazoa, Chordata, Mammalia, Primates, Lemuridae. The transcript is spliced from 4 exons. The record is from RefSeq and is a predicted model, not a curated record.